Molecule: ribosomal RNA, 463 nt
Filed under: uncultured bacterium
Lineage: Bacteria
Description: bacterial SSU rRNA
Rfam family: Bacterial small subunit ribosomal RNA
Source: RNAcentral
ACGAACGCUGGCGGCGUGCUUAACACAUGCAAGUCGAACGGUCUUCGGGGUUUACUUCGGAGAUAGUGGCGGACGGGUGAGUAACGCGUGGAUAGCCUGCCCACAGAACUGGGAUAACGCCGGGAAACUGGUGCUAAUACCGGAUACGUUGCCUGGGUUGCAUGACCCGGGUAAGAAAGGAGCAAUCCGACUGUGGAUGGAUCCGCGUCCCAUUAGCUAGUUGGUGGGGUAACGGCCUACCAAGGCGACGAUGGGUAGCCGGCCUGAGAGGGUGGCCGGCCACACUGGGACUGAGACACGGCCCAGACUCCUACGGGAGGCAGCAGUGGGGAAUCGUCCGCAAUGGGCGAAAGCCUGACGGAGCAACGCCGCGUGAGUGACGAAGGCCCUUGGGUCGUAAAACUCUGUCUUCAGGGAAGAAAAAAAUGACGGUACCUGAGGAGGAAGCCCCGGCUAACUACGU